Long non-coding RNA from Passer domesticus (house sparrow), 5130 nucleotides. RefSeq lists it as uncharacterized. The record is from RefSeq and is a predicted model, not a curated record. Lineage: Eukaryota; Metazoa; Chordata; Aves; Passeriformes; Passeridae. The transcript is spliced from 3 exons.
CUCUAAUUAUCACCAGGCGAGUGCAAUCACUGCUAACCGUGGCCUGGGUUAUUUCAGAGGUUGCUGGGCACACAGUAGUUUUUGGGAGCCCCCAGCUCUGGUUGGUGCCUGUGCUGCUGAGCUGCAUCUGUGGCUGUGGAGGGCUCUGUAACAUAGCAGGGAGCUGUGUCCCAUGGAGAGAAGCCCAGCUUGAAGCAAGAGAAAAUGAGGAGCAAGCAGCUCCAGAGAGCAGAGCACCGUUUAUUUCCCCUCCUGCUUGGGGCACUUCAGUCUGACUUCUUCCCAAGCUAUGGAUGUGAGAAAAGAGACACUCUCCUUGCCCUGAUGGAACGGAGCCCUUCCCUGAGGACCCAAGUGCCUUUGAGGAGCUGGACCUUCAAACCCAAACACUGCAUCACCUGAGCCCCGACUCAGCACCCAGGGGGCUCAUUUGUUGAUAAUGCUGCCCCAUCGAUUUACUGGUGUUACAGGAGCUGAAUGAGGCCCAUUAUGCCCUACUCAAGUGACAGAAGAAACUGCAGCUAUAACUCAGAUUUCCCUGAGCCACUCUAGCUACUUAACUGGCCUGGCUUCCGGACACGUGUCUUCCUGCUCUCUCAGGGUGUUGGGAGUCAGCAGCACAUAAAGGUGCAAGGCUAUUUUCUCCAUAAAUGAGAACUACAGCUUGGAUCUGUAUGGGGAGUACAUAUUACAUAUCCGAGCAUAGAGAAACAUAACAGAGCACCCAUGAGAGCCGAGAAUGGCUUCAGAAAACAAUCUAUAAAUCUCUGGUGUUAUCUUUGUGACAGCCUCCUAAUCUCUGCAGGUUGUUGUUAAGAGCUGCAUUAAACUAGCCUGUCAUUGAUCCCAGCUCUCACUGCUUCUCCAAGAGAUGCACUUCCUGUGAUCAAUUAGGAAAAGAGACAACAGCGUCUUAAAAGCAUCUUUACAACAGGACCUUGCAAUAACAUAUCUUCCCAAAAUGUGUCUCUCUGACAUUUACAUCAUACUUUGUCAAAGUGCAGCCAGCAUCUGCACUAACAACAUUAUUUAGUCUUCUGAAAUAAGUGAAAACCUUAAGUUCCUCAUGUUGAAUCAUCAUUUUUGCCUCCAACUUCACCCCAAGUAAAAACAGUUAAGUUUAAAAAGUGCUUGCAAUUUCUUGCUAUUUAAUUAAUUUUGAGUCAGGCUUAGAUUAGCUCUGGAUAGUAACUACCUUACUCUCAAUGCCUUCUUAGGGGGAAACAGGCUGUGAACCUGGCUCCUUGUUAAAACUUUGAGGCCUGCUUAUUCCCCCACUGUGGCACAGAAACUCGGUACUAGUAAGGAAAAUACUAAAAAAAAAAAAAAAAAAAAAAAAAAAAAAAAGUAUAUGGCUAUUAGAAAUAAGGGCUUGGCCAUUGGAUUUCUACUAUGUUUUAAAUUGUGUUUCCCCUGACUUGUGCACUAGGUAGAAAAGGUAAAGGUCAUUUUUACCCCCAUUCUAGCCAAAGUAAAGUCCCUUUGUGUUGAUGAACUUAUUUUAAUGUUGUCUUUAAGAGCUUACUGUCCAAGUAUCAGAAAAUGAUUGGCUCCCUGGUUUCUACAAAGCCUGAAUACAGGGUAGACCAAAGCAUGAAGAGAAGGACAAGUAAUGCUGUAUCCUGGUAUGGUGGAUUUUAUAUUGACUAUUUAAUUCCAGAAUAACUUGUGCCACACAUAUCAAGACUGGGUUUUCAUAUGCCACUCCUCCUGCAUGUAUUUUUAACAUGUUUUUAAGCCUAAAAUUAAGAAGAGAUUGGCCUUUCAACUACUGUACUUUUUUAGUACUUGGAGCAGUCUGUCACCUCAACAAGGGAAUAGAGUGGAAGAGGAAGAUAAUUAUCUUUUGAAUUUAGAAUACACAUUCUCUAUAUUUUCUGGACUAUAGCAAGAUGGAGUAGCACAAAUGCUGCUGGACUAGUUUUCCAUUUCACAUCUUUGCAGCCACUGACAAAGAAAGCUAAUUGUGUGUCUUGGCCUUCAGGAAUUCUAACAUGAGAUGUUCUAAAAUCACAGCAAAGGAUGGCUUUGUUUCUGUGUGCACUUGCAACACUCCAUGUAAUUAGCAGGCUGAGCAGGAGAGCUGAAUUUAGCUCACUAGCUCUUAAAUGGAGUUACUUUCAUUUGUUUACUGAAUGUCUCUACCCACUAAAGGCUAAUGAACUGGUAAUGGAUCUGUCAGAAAACGGAAAAGACAAAUACCUCUAAAUGUUGCUAUUGUAGCCCAAGAAUGUGGCUAUUAUUGCUCCUCUAACUCAUGAUCUUAAUAAGAAGGAAGGUGGUGGGAGGUUUGGUAUUCAAUGGGUGUAAGGAAGCACAAAUAUAAUUUAUGUACUGAUGGAGUGGAAGGGAGGAGAGGAACAACCCUCAGGAAACAGUAAAAUAAGCAAACAUAUUGUUCCUGCAUAUAUCCAUGAUGGCUUUCCCAUCUACACCCCCGUGCUCCUGUGUAAAGUAUAUUCAUCUUCCCAAUUUUUAUUUGUGCUAGAUAAAACCUUAAGAAGUGAAGCACUGCUUGAAGUUCAUCUGCUAAAAGAAAGGGCAGGUCAGGUUAUCAGCUUCAGGUGUGAUGGGGAAAUGCAGUGGUCAGAGUAAUGCCCAUAUAAUAAAUUUAGGCUGAUUUAAAAAAAGACAUUUCUCUCUAAAAAAUGUGAAGAAAGCACAUGGGCACCACUUGCCUGAAAAUUACUGUGUUUUGUAGCUUCAAGCGUUUUUUUAUGACUUAAAAUUCCAGUCUUCUAAAUCUGCAUUGCUCAAUUUGGCCCAAAAUAUUCUCUGAAUGAAGACACUAAGAAAGCUCUGGGCAGGCUGUCUUUGCAGUUGAGUAGAUGUAAUAUUAAGUCUAAUCACUGAGACAUCAAAACUUCUAUGCAUAAGAUUGCUAUGCUAGUGCAAGCAGACCAAUGUUUAUGUAUUGAGUAAACAACACAAGUAAUGCUUUAACAAUAAAAUGAAAGAAUUUCUGCUUUUAAGCAAUUAUAAUUAAAUUUCAUAACAUUCAGAUAUCGGAAGGGUUCUUCUGUCUGAUUUUUAACAACUCUGACUUUUGGAAGAAAAAUAUGUCCAUAUGUCAAACUUUUCUUUAUGUAGUACAGUUUCAGGGGUUUGGGUUUUUUCCCUGUAGUCUGUUGUCACUCCUUCUACAUAGUUAUAUAGCUUAAUUUUUGUCUUCAGUCUCCUCUGGUGGUGUUAUUCUCCUCUUGUUAAAAUUUUAUGAGAGGACUGUAUUUAUGACUCAUGUUACAUUUUAUCUGGUGUUAUUUCAUUCCUUCUGCAUCUGGAGGCUGGGACAGGUUGAGACUGUACCUUGUGUCAGGGUUUGACUCUGGACAAGUGGAGGAAGCAGAAGAGAAUCCUGACUCUCAGCUCAGACCAUUCCCUACAAUCAGAGUUGUUUCUUUGCUCUUACCUAGCAAAAGCAGUUUAAAUUUUGAAAUUAUUCAUGAAAAUAUUCACAGGAAUAGAUUGGUUCCAUCUUGCUGCUGUUUGGUGAAGCAAGGGCACAGAGUUGCAGCAUCUGCAUUAAUUCUUUAUUCCUCUCCAACAGCAGAUAUUUCUGCUGACCAUCUGAAGACAGUUUCCAGGUUUCUUACCUAUGUUCAGGGUAAUAGAUGAUAUGGUUAUGGGAUGUAGAUUAGUACAACAGUUUUUAGGGGCAGGGACAGUUGCAGCCUAAAUUUUUGUAAAUAAAGGGUGAGUAACCUAAUCAGUUUUCAGCUGUGGCAUGCCCAUUAGAAAAAUUUCAAACAAAGAUUUAUUGACUCAAGAAGAGGUAGACUUACUUUCCUUCUGGGGGACUGGGGGAACCCAACAAGCCAAAGAAAAUUUAUUUUCUGUUGAAAUCAAGCUAUUGGAAGGAGAGUCACUCCUGAAGAACAUAUGGUUGAAGGGAAAAAAUAUGCUAUUUCUCCUUUUUCAGAAAACACAAAUAAGCCUUAUGCAACUAUGAUUGCUCUUCAUUCAAAUAUGUGCCCUGACUGUUUAAGAAUCAGGAUGGUAUCUAGGUGCUGUUGUGAAAACAAAAUGUAUUUUAGCUCCUCAGCAGACUGUCAUGACUCAUACAAAAAUCAGUCCAGUAUUUUCUGUAACAACUUUGUAGCAUUUCUUAAAAGUUGUUUUAGUAGUAGUCUUUUCUGAAGUCCUUGUUAUUUUUAACAUAAUAGGGGUAGGUUUGACAGGAAUUAAGUGGUGUUACACAUCCCUGUGAGGUGUCUCCCAAACACUGAGUGCUCUGGUCCUGGCACAGGGAGGUGUAACCCCCAGCUCGUGAGAAAUGUUAACACAGUACUGAUACAGCCUGCCAAUACUGACACAGCACUGCACACGCCUUUGUCAAGGAAUUUUGUGCCUCCAUAACAUUCUCCCACAGGACUGUGGCACCUCUGGGCUCCUGGGGGCUACAGUGUCACCUUCUCCUGGCUCCUGGUUGCACACUGUCCCUAAACCAACCAAACACAGCUGCUAAUUUGGAGAGGCCAUGUUAGGAAAUAUUAAUACCUUUGACAGUUUACUGCUUUUGGAAAAACCACCUAACUUUCAUUGUGCCUUUCAUUUCUUCCCCUCUGCCAUCUGUUCCUGCUGAAAACAAGGUGGAUGCUGUGAUGAGUCAAAUGCAAUCCAUGCACCAGUGGGACAGACAGCAGACCCCCACCCCAAAUUUGACUUAGAAUGUUAUGAUGAGUCCUAGCCUCAGCCUGACCUUGACCAAAUCUUCCUUUCAUCUGAAAGUAACGUGGGAAAAGGGUUUCCUGCAAUCUAAAAAAAUGUCUUUACAGUAUGUGACUUGUUUUUUGUUCAGAUUUUAGUAACAUAUUGUUCUGUGUAUAUAAAGGAUCCAAGCUGUUUAAAAGUAGAGAUGAAUAAUGUUUAAGAAUGUAUACUAUAAAAGACCAAUGUGCCUUAUUAGAUCAACAUAGAUGACCAAAGACAGAUUCUGUCUCUACAGUAACAUGGAACUUGUCAGUAGAUGUCACUCCUUUUUGUAGACAUUGAUUGUAAAAUUAAAAAUUAAACUGCAGUAAUACAUCUAAUUUUACAUGCAUGCAAAUUCCUUGUUAGACUAUUUAGCAUGCAUGUCUUAUUUAACAUAUAACAUUACAUUUUAAAAUAAAUGAAAUUGUAUAUACAGUA